RNAcentral lists this unclassified non-coding RNA (234 nucleotides) under plant metagenome. RNAcentral's name for it is "partial contains small subunit ribosomal RNA, internal transcribed spacer 1, and 5.8S ribosomal RNA". The record is from RNAcentral.
UUUCCGUAGGUGAACCUGCGGAAGGAUCAUUAAUGUGUUUGAGCCUCACGGCUCUUCAUUCCGACGCUGUGCGCCUUCGGGCUGCACGCUGAGGGGGCAUAUAUCCACCCCUGUGCACACACACGGUGGCGAGCUGGGUAACGGCUCGCCGCUGAUCUUUACACACGUCUAAAAGUCAUUGUAUGUUUAUUUGAGAUAAAAACACAACUUUCAGCAACGGAUCUCUUGGCUCUC